UUAUAAAUUGAGUAAGAAUAAAUAUUAAAAACAAUCUCGUGAACAAAAUAAUAACACGAAUGAACUAAAAAAAUAUAGACAUGAACAAAUCUUAUUAAUCCAUGAACAAAAAAAAAUCUGUAACAUACACAUUUAUUCUUUCUCAUAAAAAAUCAAAUUAAUAGCUUCUGUCAAUAUUCUUACAUUUAUUGACGCAUAAGUUUGAGUUCAACACUAAAAUACCCCAAUGAUAAAAGAAAAAAGAAAAAAGAAAAAAAUCAAAUAUCAAUAUCCAUACUCUGAUCAUACUUUGAAUUUGCCUCAUCCAAGCAACACGAAGUUAGCUUUGAAUUCACAACUCGCGAUAAUCCGCAGAUGCAGAUUUCAAAAGGUCUUCCUUCACAUAGUUGUAUUCACAAAUUAGAAUUGCAGCGUAAUAUCUAACUCGCAUACGACUUAUUUGUCGUGGUGACGAAGAUGAUAUUCCACAUUUUCAGCUUGCGGGUCCAUGUCCCAUAAACUUCUCUAAAUGCCGCAAAAAAACAAAAUUAUAUAGCAUUACAAUAUUAUAAAUAGCCACAUAAAAUCAUAUAAAUGAAAAAAGUAUAAGUUAAUAAGUAAACAACUAAAAUGAAUAAAUAAAACAAUCGAG
Molecule: long non-coding RNA, 631 nt
Filed under: Salvia miltiorrhiza (redroot sage)
Lineage: Eukaryota; Viridiplantae; Streptophyta; Magnoliopsida; Lamiales; Lamiaceae
Description: long non-coding RNA (SMIL_LNC010242)
Source: RNAcentral